GUUAUUUUAGUAAUAUUUUAGGAAAACUAAAAACAAUGUACAUAUGUACUUAGACUCUGAUUUGGAAGAUCCCGAGAAGUCGUGAUUAUUCGGAACCCAAUCCAGAUUAACCCGUGCCAGUUGGGCCUCCCACAGCUGGAAGCUGCCGGUCGAGCUGUUGCAUUUCAGGGCUGCAGCUGAGAAGCGGGCUAAUUGAACCACACCCCCUGUACCGCCCCGCCUCUCGCCGCCCCACCCCUCCGGCCUUUCUAUGCAAACAAAACGCCCAGGCAGCCGAAAAACGCCAGCCCCUGUGAGAAAAGCUGAAAAGUCCAAAAACCAGCAACGGACUGUCGAUGGAGGUGGAUGAUGUGGCAGUAGAGAUGUGGAAGUGUGCCCAGCACAAGUUGCCUGGCCGCGGGAAAUUCUCUGCACAGCGGGAAAAUUGAGGAAAAGUGGGCCUUGUGCCAAUCAGUAUGCACGUAUCGAGCAUAAUAACUUGAUAAUGAAAUCAAUUUUAAAGAUAACCAACACCUAUUAUUAGUUUUAAUUUUCAAUAUGAUUAUAAAUAAAAGAUAAAUAAAAAU
Molecule: non-coding RNA, 566 nt
Organism: Drosophila melanogaster (fruit fly)
Lineage: Eukaryota; Metazoa; Arthropoda; Insecta; Diptera; Drosophilidae
Source: Ensembl